CGGGUAUACGGGUCGACCAAUUUUGGUGCCCGUCCCCCCUCUCCUGCUCGACAGUCAGGAACACUCUUGGGUCCCGAGAGUUGAGCGUCGAGGCUAUUCCCCGGGGCUCAGGAGCAACCCAAUCCAAUGCAGGAUCGGUUAUACAGUCAACCAGAGCAUGCUUCUCCACAACAUGCGUCUCCACGACCUCCUCGGCUUCUGACAUUUUUACAACCUGAAAUGCAGCAAAAACAAAGUGAAUUCGACGAACAAAUCCACCCUUUCACUGCAAUUCAAGUGAAAGGGCGCAGGAUAGGACGAGGACGCUGCCCUCGACCAAAAGCCCUUUUCAAAUGGCAAAUCAAAAAUAACCGAGGAGGGUGACUUAAAUAGAGCCGGGGAGAUAAGCUCCCCGGCCCGAGAUUCAAACAAUUAAUUCCUAAGGGAAAGACGAGGAGAUAACCUCCCCGGUACGAGAUUCAAACAACGAAUUUCAUGGAGAAAUUUUCUAAGUUAAAAAGGGAGGAAAUAUCCUCCCCGGCCACAAAAUCAAUUGACUAAAGUUUCAAACGGGGAGAUAGACUCCCCGGUACUAGCAAACAAACUGUCUAAAAAUUGAGACGAGGAGAUAGGCUCCCCGUCACUAGUCAUCUAACUUAAAGUUUCAAAGGGGACUAACUCCCCGGCUCUAAAUUUAAAUGGUGCCCGGCUCUAAAUACAUAUAGUGCCCGGCACAUUCAUACAUUC
Molecule: long non-coding RNA, 726 nt
Filed under: Trifolium pratense (red clover)
Lineage: Eukaryota; Viridiplantae; Streptophyta; Magnoliopsida; Fabales; Fabaceae
Description: long non-coding RNA (TPRA_LNC009365)
Source: RNAcentral